This 85-nucleotide transfer RNA is filed under the name Ulva rigida. RNAcentral describes it as "tRNA-Lys". It matches the Rfam family "tRNA". From Rfam's summary of the family: Transfer RNA (tRNA) molecules are approximately 80 nucleotides in length. Their secondary structure includes four short double-helical elements and three loops (D, anti-codon, and T loops). Lineage: Eukaryota; Viridiplantae; Chlorophyta; Ulvophyceae; Ulvales; Ulvaceae. The record is from RNAcentral.
GCGUCCUUGCACAGAAUUGGUAAUGUAGCGAGCUUUUAACUCGUAACCCAUUGAGGUAUUGUAGGUUCAAGUCCUACAGGGCGCA